CGGUAAUUCCAGCUCCAAUAGCGUAUACUAAAGUUGUUGCAGUUAAAAAGCUCGUAGUUGGAUUUCUGCGGGGACGGAGCGGCCGGUCGCAAUUUGCGACUCGAGCUAGCGCUUUCCCCGCAUCCUGCCGCGAACCGUGCUACCAUUAGUUUGGUGGCGCUGGGGAUCGGCUCGAUUACUUUGAGAAAAAUAGAGUGUUCAAAGCAGGCCACACGCCUUGAAUAAGUUAGCAUGGAAUAAUGACUAAGGACUUUGGUUCUUUUCGUUGGUGUUCGGGACUGAAGUAAUGAUUGAUAGGGACAGUUGGGGCGGUCCGUAUUCCAAAGCGAGAGGUGAAAUUCUUAGACCUUCGGAAGACGAACAGCUGCGAAAGCGUUCCGCAAGGAUGUUCCCUUUGAUCAAGAACGAAAGUUGGGGGAUCGAAGACGAUCAGAUACCGUCGUAGUCUCAACUAUAAACUAUACCAGCUAGGGAUCGGCCAACGUUUAAUUUAUCGACUUGGUCGGCACCUUAUGAGAAAUCAAAGCAUCUGGGUUCCGGGGGGAGUAUGGUCGCAAGGCUGAAACUUAAAGGAAUUGACGGAAGGGCACCACCAGCCGUGGAGCCUGUGGCUUAAUUUGACUCAACACGGGAAAACUUACCAGGUCCAGACAUAGGAAGGAUUGACAGAUUGAUAGCUCUUUCUUGAUUCUGUGGGUGGUGGUGCAUGGCCGUUUUUAGUCGGUGGAUGUGAUCUGUCUGCUUAAUUGCGUUAACGGACGAGACCCCAGCCUGCUAAAUAGCGCGGCCGAGCUUUGCUCGGUGCGAGCUUCUUAGAGGGACCAUGAUGCGCGAUAGCACAAGGAAGUUUGGGGCAACAACAGGUCUGUGAUGCCCUUAGAUGUUCUGGUCCGCACACGGGCUACACUGGCGCCUGCAACGAGCAUAUCAGCUGGCCCGAGAGGGUCUUGGCUAAUCUUUGGAACCGGCGCCGUGCUUGGGAUUGACCAUUGCAAUUGUUGGUCAUGCAACGAGGAAUGCCUUGUAAACGCGAGUCAUCAGCUCGCAUUGAAUACGUCCCUGCCCUUUGUACACACCGCCCGUCGCUCCUACCGAUGAAUGUUCCGAUGAAAUUUUCGGAGAGCACCAGAGAACGGGGCUCCGCCUUGCAGAUCUGGAGGCUCAAAGUCACUUAAAUCUGAACAUUUCGAGGAAGGAGAAGUCGUAACAAGGUAACC
Molecule: ribosomal RNA, 1217 nt
Filed under: uncultured Rhizaria
Lineage: Eukaryota
Description: SSU rRNA
Rfam family: Eukaryotic small subunit ribosomal RNA
Source: RNAcentral